AGCAGUAGCCGCGGUAAUACGAAGGGUGCAAGCGUUAAUCGGAAUUACUGGGCGUAAAGGGUGCGUAGGCGGUUGUUUAAGUCUGUUGUGAAAUCCCCGGGCUCAACCUGGGAAUGGCAAUGGAAACUGGGCGGCUAGAGUGUGUCAGAGGAUGGUGGAAUUCCCGGUGUAGCGGUGAAAUGCGUAGAGAUCGGGAGGAACAUCAGUGGCGAAGGCGGCCAUCUGGGACAACACUGACGCUGAAGCACGAAAGCGUGGGGAGCAAACAGGAUUAGAUACCCGGGUAGUCCCUGUCUCUUAUAC
RNAcentral lists this ribosomal RNA (303 nucleotides) under uncultured bacterium. Its description in RNAcentral is "partial 16S ribosomal RNA". It matches the Rfam family "Bacterial small subunit ribosomal RNA", at positions 507 to 807 of the family's 1533-position model. The record is from RNAcentral.